AUCCUUUCGUAGUUCACAAGCAUGUUUGGGUGUUCACGUGCACGUGUAAUAUGUGCCUCUCUUAAACUUUGUUAUUGCCGGGCGCGGUGGCUCACGCCUGUAAUC
Small nucleolar RNA from Cebus imitator (Panamanian white-faced capuchin), 105 nucleotides. RefSeq annotates it as small nucleolar RNA U13. The transcript has a single exon. The record is from RefSeq and is a predicted model, not a curated record. NCBI's taxonomy places the organism in Eukaryota, Metazoa, Chordata, Mammalia, Primates, Cebidae.